UUAGCCGUAAAUUGAUAUAUUUACCAAAGUACUAUGAACAUAAUAGUUUAAAACUUAAAGAGCUUGGCGGUGCUUUAGACCUCCCAGGGGAACUUGUCUCAUAAUCGACAGUCCACGAUAUACCUUACCUUUUUUAGAUUCUUCAGUAUGUAUACCGUCGUCGUCAGGUAACUUCUAAAAACAUAAAAGUUAGCAGAUUAAAAUUUAUAGUUUUAGACGUCAGAUCAAGGUGCAGCCUAUAGAAAGGUGUAGAUGAGUUACAAUUAAAACUUAUAAUACGGAAAAAGCUUAGAAAAACUUUAAUAAGGCGGACUUGGAAGUAAAAAUUUUUAUAUAAGUUUUUUGAAUAUGGCUCUGAAGCG
Molecule: ribosomal RNA, 362 nt
Filed under: Lacuna pallidula
Lineage: Eukaryota; Metazoa; Mollusca; Gastropoda; Littorinimorpha; Lacunidae
Description: partial 12S ribosomal RNA
Source: RNAcentral